GGAACCUCCAUAUGCCACACAGGCCCUUUAAAAAGAGAAAGUGUGACAAGGGCCCUGGUAAGAAUUACACCAGGACAGAAGGUAUAAACUGAGACUGCCCUGGGAAAACUAAGACAUAUAGUCAACCGGCUUAUAGCCAGCCCUUGCUUCCCAUCCCAAAACCUCCUCCCACACCCAUGGUCCUGCCCCCUCCUAAGGGAGGGCUCUCAGGUCUCCACCUGUAGGAGGAACUCAUUCUCAGCUCAGACGGCCCCUCUUCUGUGAAGCCUUUUCCAACCCGCAUGAAGUGAACUUGAGGAUGUAAAGUGAGUGAGUGAUGAAUAUUUAUUAAAGGAAUAAGCAUUUCCUUCAAAGGAGUUCCAUGUUCCUAUUAAUUCAUGGUCUCGAGGAAAUGAAGACACGUUGCACCAUAGCUUCCAAGGCUCUAAAUGCAGACAGUUGGUGGAGAAGAGGGAAAAAAGUGACUUUCUCAAACCAUUUUUUUUAAUUGAAGUAUAGUUGACUUGGCAAUGUUGUGUUAGUUUCAAGUGUGCGGCAGAGUGAUUCGGUUGUAGAUACACACACACACACACACACACACACACACACACACACACACACACACACACACACAUAUAUGUCCUUUUCCAGAUUCUUUUCCAUGAUAGGUUAUUACAAGAUACUGAAUAUAGUUCACGGGGUAAGACAGUAAGUCCUUGUUUCUUUAUCUUUUUUAUAUAUAGUAGUAUGGACAUGUUAAGUCCAAACUCCAAAUAUAUUUCCGCCCUCCACUUGCUGUCCCCUUUGGUAACCAUAAGUUUGUUUUCUAUGUCUGUGUGUCCAUUUCUGUUUUGUAAAUAAGUUCGUUUCUAUCAUUCUUUUAGAUUUCACAUAUAAGUGAUACCAUAUGACACUUAUCUUUCUCUGAUUUACUUAGUAUGAUAAUCUCUAGAUCCACCCAUGUUGCUACAAAUGAAAUUAUUUCAUUCUUUUCUAGUCCAUUGUAUAUAUGUAUCACAUCUGCUUUAUCCAUUCACCUGUUGAUGGACACUUAGGUUGCUUAAAAAGUGACAUUUUAUUUUCUUCUAAAGUACAAAUGCUAAAUAAAAGUACUACUUUCUUAGGAGCCUGGGUUGGAAAGCCCAGGAACUGGAAGAGGCCUAGAAUAUGAUCUAGUCUAUAUAAGUCCGAUCUCACAGGGGACCAAAGAGAUCUAAGAGGUAAGGUAACUUGUCCAUGGACCCAGGGGUGGAGAGUGGCAGUACUUUUUCAUUCACCCACCUUUGAAACAACCCUGGAGACUGAUAAGACUCCUUUAUUGCUGGUAUUAGUCUUAUCUCAGGUGCCUGCUCUGUAAAAAAAUCAAUAGUCACCAAUGCUCCACUCUGCCAGGUCCACAUGACACAGCACAUUAGCACAGAGCCAUAUUGGCCACAUUCCACAGGUGAGUUUCACCCUAUCCUCAUUGAGAAGAGUUUGUGGAUCAGGAUCCUCCAGGCAACAUAGUUGCCAUAUUUCCAAUGUCUCAAAUAGACUGCUGAGCAUAGCUGAGGCGCUCUUUAGGAGAGUGGAAAUGAUAUAGCAGAACAAUAAAAAGCAUGGGCAUUGGAGUCAGACCAGAAUUAGAUAAAUAAAUACAUGCUGUGUCCAGGAGUUGUUCUUCCUUGGUUGCUGGUGGGACCACCAACCACUGGGAUUUUCCACUUGGGUUCCAUAUUUGUUUUCUCUGCCCUCAGCAUCCUGCUAUGCAUGGCAUGUCUUUCUUGACCUUUAAUCACAUGUGCCUCUCAAGUGUGGACCUCAGUUUCAGCUACUACUAGAAGACAAUUGCAGAGCAAUUGUGAAUUUACAAGUGACACAACUGUGCUCAGGGCCACUAGUGAACAAGGCAGUGGCUCAGUUAACACAAGAGGUCUCUCGGAGAGAGAGAGGUUUAACCAAGGAUAACCACUGCAUUGUUCAUCUCUGUGGUUCAGAAAUGGAGGGUAGAAGGAAAGAGCCCUGUGAGUGGCCUCAAAAGAGCUGGACUGAACCCCUCACCUGCUGUGUUGUGGGCUGGAGCACAAGCUUGGCUAUGCUAGAAUGGGCUGGAAGCUACCUUCUCCCUAAAGUAAAGCUCCAGGCUAUGGGGAAAAUCCAGCCUCACACCAACUCUGAAGUCCUUAAUUCUGCUUUGUUAAUUACCAGAGUUCCUUUUAAUAUAAGAAAUGUAUCCUCAGAGUUCCUGUUGUGGCUCAGCAAGUUAAGAACCCAGCCAGUAUCCAUGAGGAUGCAGGUUUAUUUCCUGGCCUCGAUCAAUGGGUUAAGGAUCCGGCGUUGCUGUGAGCUGUGUUGUAGGUCACAGACUCGGUUCAGAUCCCAGUGUUACUGUGGUGUAAGCCAGCAGCUGCAGCUCCCAUUCAACCCUUGGCCUGGGAACCUCCAUAUGCCAUGGGUAUAGCCCUAAAAAGGCAAAAAAAUAAAUAAAUAAAUAAAUAAAUAAAUAAAAAGGCAAAAAAAAGAGAGAGAGAGAGAGAGAAAUACAUUCUCAGAUUAGCCCAAAUUGUGAUAAUUCACGAAGCUUGUCUAUGUAGCAGUAUGCUACAUAGGUUUUCCCAAGAAAUUUGCCUACUUAAGGCAGGUUAUCGAAAGCUAGUAUUUGGAUAGCAUCAUCAGAAGGAGUAUUUUUAAUCCAUUUUUUUAAACUCCCCGUAACUAUAUAACCAUUUGAAAAACGGUCUGACAGCCCUGACUGUCCUUGAACAUACAUGUAUCCUCGGACCUGGCAAAUCUGGACAUAUGUUAACGUACCCAGCAGAGGCUCAUAUUUUGUGUACCAGGUACAAAAACGCUUGUGGCAGCACAUGUUGCAAUUGUCCAGAAAUAGAAAGAACCCAAUUGUCCACCAAGGGCAGAAUGUUAUGGAGCAACCAGAAUGAAUGAUGUCUGACUUGAGGCCACCGCAUGAAUGAAGCUCACAUCCAGAAUGAUGAGCAAAAGAAGCCAGAUGCAAAAUAGUGGACAAAAUGCAAUCCUUGUUCUAUAAAGUUCAAAAACAGAGCCAAUCAAUAGCAUUAGAAAUCAGCACAGCUGUUUCUCUUGUAACAGCAGAAAAACCUAAGAUUCUGGCUGGGUUCUGUCUCUUUACCUGGGUACUAGUUACACAAGUGUGUUCAUUUUGUGGAAAUUUGUUGAGCUCAGCCCUUAUGACUUCUGCACUUUUCCACAUGAAUGAAUCAAUACAUGACUAUGAAUACAGAAUUAUUCAUAUAUUUUGGAGGAAAAAUAGAAUAUCUCUUCAUGCGCUGAUGAGACUUAAGGAGGAUAGAUCCAGAAUUAUCCCUUCCUGAAUACUCCUCUUUCCCCUUCUCCAUGCAGACGAGGGUGAGCUAUGUGGGGAACCAGUGCGAUGGAAAAUCCCCCGACGUAUAGAACCAAAUAUAGGGGGACAACCACUGCUCCUAAGCCUCCCAGGAUGGCCCCCAAGUAGGAACAGAGGAACCUUCAGGUUCCCCCCACCCCAUAUCUCUACUCCUUCCUUCAUUCCCUAAGCUGCACAUUCUCUCAGGACCACAUAGCCCUGGUGGUUCUCAGUGCCCCAGAGGCUAAAGCCAUACUGACCCAGGCCCUGCAUGGUCCAGGCCUCCUAUCUGGCUUCCCCCUUGGGGCUCUGUACUUACUGCUCCCUCUGCCUGGAACACCCAGUGCCAGCUCUCCCUAUGGACAGGUUCUUGUCUUCCAAGAACCGGCUCUAAUGUUACUUCCUCAGAAAGAACAAUUGAAACCAUUCCCACGGUCACUUUAAAAAGAAAUGUGUAGCAUGCAAUACUUUCUUAAAUGAUCAUAUUUGUUUAUUCUCUCUCUCUUGCUCUCUCUAUACACAAACACACACACACAAAAUGUAAGUUUCAAGAAAACAGACACUGGGUGUCAGUCACAUCUUCACAGCUCUGUCCCCCAUACCUGGCACAGAGUAGGCUAUGACUGAAUACAUGCAAAUGAAUAAAUGCCACCUCCUCCAGGAAGCCUUCCCUGACCCUGAUAACCCACACACAUCUCUCUCCACUGACCUUCUCUAAGAUCUGUGUGCUCUCUCACCCACAGGAUGUUAUCACUCACUUCCUUGUACUGUAGUUGGUUUCAGUACAUGCUGCAGUCCUACAGCUAGAUCUUAUGUCCUGGAGAGCAGAAUCUUGGGUUUAUGCUCCUUCAUAGCUCCAGAACCUAGUGCAGAUUCCUGCACAUAACAGGAAAGCAAUAAACAUGGGUUCAAUCGAUUGAGGAGGAAGGAGAACACAGCAGAAAAGGUGAACUGUGAACUCAGAAGUCCUGACUUACCACUUACUACCUAGCUGUGUGUCCUUGGAAAAAUUACACAGCAUCUCUGAGUCUAGCUUCUCAAUUUUAAAGCAGGCACAUUAAUUUUUAUUUUAUAGAAUUUAAAAAGAAGUUAUAUAAAGCACUAUAUAUAUUCCUCUGUGUGUGUGUAUGUGUGUAUAUAUAAGUGUGUGCGUAUACAUAUAUGUGUGUAUAUGUGUGUAUGUAUAUAUGUGUGUGCAUAUAUAUAUAAACAUAUAUAUUCAGAAAUUUUAUAUAUAUAUAUAUAUAUACUCAGAAGUGUCAGGAAUUCCCAAUGUGGCUCAGUGGUAAUGAACCCAACUAGUAUCCAUGAGGAUGCGGUUCGAUCCCUGGCCCCAAUCAGUGGGUUGAUGAUUUGGUGUUGCUGUGAGCUGUGGUGUCAGUUGAAGUUGCGGCUUGGAUCCCACGUUGCUGUGGCCAAGGUAUAGCUCUGAUAUUUGACUCCUAGCCUGGGAACUUCCAUAUGCCACAGGUG
Molecule: long non-coding RNA, 4792 nt
Filed under: Sus scrofa (pig)
Lineage: Eukaryota; Metazoa; Chordata; Mammalia; Artiodactyla; Suidae
Description: lncRNA (ENSSSCG00000060535.1)
Source: RNAcentral